CGAGGGUGCUUCUUCCUCUUCGGAGGGAGGAGUACCCGGCAGACGGCUCAGUAACACGUGGACAACUUGUCCUGUGGUCCGGGAUAACCCCUGGGAAACUGGGGCUAAUACCGGAUAGAGCACCGACCGCUGGAAUGCGCGAUGCUCGAAAGCUCCGGCGCCACAGGGUAGGUCUGCGGCCGAUUAGGUUGUUGUUGAUGUAACGGAUUAACAAGCCUCCAAUCGGUAUGGGUUGUGAGAGCAAUAGCCCAGAGAUGGGUUCUGAGAGAAGAACCCAGGUCCUACGGGACGCAUCAGGCGCGAAAACUUUACACUGUGCGCAAGCACGAUAAGGGAACUCUGAGUGCCUCCACAGGAGGCUGUUCAGGUGUCUAAAACGCAUCUGAAGGAAGGGCUGGGUAAGACCGGUGCCAGCCGCCGCGGUAACACCGGCAGCCCAAGUGGUGGCCAUUCUUACUGGGUCUAAAGCGUCCGUAGCCGGCCUGAUAAGUUCCUUGGGAAAUUUGAUCGCUCAACGAU
Molecule: ribosomal RNA, 519 nt
Filed under: uncultured archaeon
Lineage: Archaea
Description: bacterial SSU rRNA
Rfam family: Archaeal small subunit ribosomal RNA
Source: RNAcentral